Non-coding RNA from Poecilia reticulata (guppy), 1813 nucleotides. Lineage: Eukaryota; Metazoa; Chordata; Actinopteri; Cyprinodontiformes; Poeciliidae. The record is from RefSeq and is a predicted model, not a curated record.
GUGUUUUCUACAUAAAAGAAAACAACUGAAACUCAAAUCAAAGUUUGUCAUCAGUUUGUGAAGUAGAACAAACUAAAUAAAUUUUUAUUGGUCGAUAUCUGAUAUGCUGAUACACUAAAACUAAUUUGGCUGAUAACCAAUACCAAUACCAAUUUUUUUUUUCUGUACCUACUUACUGAAACUAUAUGGCUUUAUCUACUGGGGAGUCAAAAUAUUGCAUUUUCUUUGUCAAUAUAGCCUGCUACCAAAUGCACAUGCAAAAAAGGAGGCUAAGAAUAACGCAACAUUUCAACUUGCAUUGUUUAAUGKCAAAUUUAUUCAUGACGUUUGCUCUUUCUAAGACAGUGGCAAAACUCAAGCAGUGCAAAUGUGACGUCGUACUUUGCUGCAGGCAUCAUCGUCACUGGUUUGUUAUAUAAAAAAAAGCCUUUUAUACUGAGUUAUUUUGACGGAAUGGCCGAUGUCCGAUAUUAAAUUUUAGUAUUGGCAGAUACUGAUACCAUGCUGAUAAUAUCGUGUAUCCCUGUACAUUAUAGCGUCCUAUUUAUAAAGUUGGACUUUAGCUGUACUCUUACCAAUGUUAUCAAAAAUAGAGCAGAGUCUAAUAUUGAGCCUUGGGUGUCUCCCUUUAUAAUAUUCAAAGAGCUGGAUAUUAUAAACACAAUUUUAUUUGAAAGGCAGCAUCUAAUUCAGCCUGAAGCUGCAAAAAGGAUUAGUGAGUCAUUACAGCACUGAUGAAACUCAACAGGCAUUAAAACAACUUUGUUUUACACCWWUAGUGCUGACACAGAUCUUGCUUUGGUGACUUUUGGCGCAACAUGGAACAUCAUAUUUAUCUCAUUUACAAAAAGUCUUUCACACAGAAGCGUAAAGUACAUAAAAAGCAUAAGAAUUAUAAUUAAGGCAGUAUAUAUUCCAUUUCUAACUCACAAUUUUGACUAUUUACAGGAAAAUGGCUGUCAAAUGAAUGUGUGAUGUCCUGUGAGAGUGGAUUUUUGACCCCAGCUGCUCCAGGGAAGGAGACUAAAAUAAAACRYUGAUUUGCUCAUACAGCAGCCGUUCCCUGAAGGCAGCACAGUCAUCUCAGAUGUGCAUGCCCCUGAUGCUGCUGUGCUGGGAUUGGGGAAUCGAGGUCGACUGUUUAUCCUGUGUCUGUGUCCAGCAGUGAAUGGGUGAAGUCUGGACAGGUGGCCAGUCAGGGCAGCACAGAGACAACCAGAGGAUGCAUGCAUGUCUGCAGACACUCCACAGGUUAAUCAACCAAUUAAACUAACCAAUUAACUUAUUAUGCAUAUUUCUGGACUGUGAAAGAAUGAUGAAAAUUUACAUMAUCUAAGAAAAAGUAAACGACCAAUAUUUUUUGUUAGUUUGUUUGUGUUUUGCUACGACCAAAAAACAUAAUAAGAUUCUCCUCUCGUACUUCAAAACCAUUGAGUACAACAAGCAAUUAUUGUUUCUGCAUUUUGUGACAGGARCUGCCUAGGAAAUGCAUUAACAUCUCAGCAUCAGUGACAUGUUUAAGCAGCUGAGCUGAGCUGAAAUUUAAAAGCUAACAACUACUUAAAGGCCUGCCUCUGCUCUGCUGCAGCAGACUGGAUGCAGGUUAAGUGGCUUUGCGCUGACCACGUUUUCCGGUUUGUUGGUGUUGCUUUCUGAGAACGUAGAGGUUGAGAAGCCUGUUACUUUUGCCUUCGAGCAAAAAGAAAGAACUUCAAGAUGCGAACACAGCAGGGGAUUUGAAACCAAGCACAUUUAAACCACAUGGUAAAGAAAGUCAGUUAUUUUUGAGCGUCUCUAAAUGUGUCUUGUGGUA